Molecule: small nucleolar RNA, 277 nt
Filed under: Echeneis naucrates (live sharksucker)
Lineage: Eukaryota; Metazoa; Chordata; Actinopteri; Carangiformes; Echeneidae
Source: RNAcentral
CCUUUGCAGCCUUGUGAUGUUGCCCCUUGUAAGGACUAUUGCUUGUGGGUACAACAAGGCUGCAGAAAGCAACUCAAAGAAUGAAAAGGCGUGACUUCUGGAGGCUCAGGAGCUUCACGUGCGAUGUUCCUUGGACAGAUUCCUGCUUUCCACGGUGGUGAUGGUUCCCCUCCUUAGCCAUCACCUUUCUUAAGGCAGGUAGAGUAAAACCUGGCAGCUGGAUAUUGUUUGAAGUGGGAGAAGGUUACUCCUUCAGACACUGUGAGCUGUCACAGUC